CAGCAGCCGCCGCGGUAAUACGAAGGGGGCUAGCGUUGUUCGGAAUUACUGGGCGUAAAGCGCACGUAGGCGGAUAUUUAAGUCAGGGGUGAAAUCCCGCAGCUCAACUGCGGAACUGCCUUUGAUACUGGGUAUCUUGAGUAUGGAAGAGGUUAGUGGAAUUGCGAGUGUAGAGGUGAAAUUCGUAGAUAUUGGGAAGAACACCGGUGGCGAAGGCGGCAACCUGGCUCAUUACUGACGCUGAGGCGCGAAAGCGUGGGGAGCAAACAGGAUUAGAUACCCCGGUAGUCCCUGUCUCUUAUAC
This 304-nucleotide ribosomal RNA is filed under the name uncultured bacterium. Its description in RNAcentral is "partial 16S ribosomal RNA". It matches the Rfam family "Bacterial small subunit ribosomal RNA", at positions 506 to 807 of the family's 1533-position model. The record is from RNAcentral.